RNAcentral lists this ribosomal RNA (450 nucleotides) under uncultured bacterium. Its description in RNAcentral is "partial 16S ribosomal RNA". It matches the Rfam family "Bacterial small subunit ribosomal RNA", at positions 354 to 796 of the family's 1533-position model. The record is from RNAcentral.
GUGGGGAAUAUUGGACAAUGGGCGCAAGCCUGAUCCAGCCAUACCGCGUGGGUGAAGAAGGCCUUCGGGUUGUAAAGCCCUUUUGUUGGGAAAGAAAUCCUGUCGGUUAAUACCUGGCGGGGAUGACGGUACCCAAAGAAUAAGCACCGGCUAACUUCGUGCCAGCAGCCGCGGUAAUACGAAGGGUGCAAGCGUUACUCGGAAUUACUGGGCGUAAAGCGUGCGUAGGUGGUGGUUUAAGUCCGUCGUGAAAGCCCUGGGCUCAACCUGGGAAUUGCAGUGGAUACUGGAUCACUAGAGUGUGGUAGAGGGAUGCGGAAUUUCUGGUGUAGCAGUGAAAUGCGUAGAGAUCAGAAGGAACAUCCGUGGCGAAGGCGGCAUCCUGGGCCAACACUGACACUGAGGCACGAAAGCGUGGGGAGCAAACAGGAUUAGAAACCCGGGUAGUCC